UGUAAUGCUGGGAUCUGUGUUGGGCAGGAGUUUCUCUCUAAGGAGACCCACGCAAAACCCCACUGGAUUGGACUCACUGACCUGGGCACUGAAGGCCGCUGGCGCUAGGUGGACGGCUCAGAAUACAGAGAAGAAUCCAGCAGGGGGUUCUGGGAGCACCCUCAGCCUGACAACUGGCACCAGGGGAUCGGCGGCAGAGAAGACUGUGUUGAGAUCCGCACAGAGAUGCAGACUUUGUGGAAUGAUGCCAACUGCUCUCUGCCUGCGCGGUGGAUCUGUAAGCAGGCCCGUGGGCAGGCCGGGCUGUGACAUGCAGGGCCAGUGUGAGAGUUUCACCCCCCUCCCCUUUGCUUUAUGAAAUUGACUUAUGGGCACAAACAUGCAUAAGCCGAAGAUGCUUUGGACAAAUCCCUGAUGUCACCCAUCAGCCUUAACGCCACAAGCUGCUGGUGCCAUGUGUCUGAUUGGCGUGUGCACCAUUCUUGGGGGUAAAGUGAGAGAUAUGGAGUAGGGGAAGGGUUAGGGUUUAACUAUGCAAAUGAAAGCCAUGUGGGCAUUUCCCUCCAUGUCUGGGUGAUCACCUGUAAACAGCCUCUUUUGUCCUGUGAGUCUGAGCAGCGGUUGGUUUUAGGAAGUCACAUGACCACCCCAAGUGCUAGGGUCUGACCAGGUAAUUGUCCAUAGGAGGGGGAAUGUCAAAACAGAAUCCCCGCCUCAAAAGGAGGCUACUCAGGGAUGUUUUCAGGCUUUUGUCUUUGCCUGGCACGUCACUGCCAGGAGAAUGAACCAGAGACCCCAGGGAAAGGGCGUUCUCUGGCUUGGAGGCUUGGCUGAAAGAAGAACAGUUUCAGGGUAAGUUUGUGCUGAGCUUUGAGUGACAGAACUCGCUCUGCAUUUCCUGUUAGUUUCAAUCUGUAAUCGACUUUGCUCGGCCUGUUUUCACCGGCAACCACUUCGCUGCUGCUGUUUGUACUGAAUAAAAUCACUUGGGUUCA
Non-coding RNA from Pelodiscus sinensis (Chinese soft-shelled turtle), 995 nucleotides. The record is from RefSeq and is a predicted model, not a curated record. NCBI's taxonomy places the organism in Eukaryota, Metazoa, Chordata, Testudines, Trionychidae.